RNA transcript from Musa acuminata AAA Group (dessert banana), 4062 nucleotides. It is a transcript of the gene named disease resistance protein RGA2-like, with no coding region annotated. The transcript has a single exon. The record is from RefSeq and is a predicted model, not a curated record. NCBI's taxonomy places the organism in Eukaryota, Viridiplantae, Streptophyta, Magnoliopsida, Zingiberales, Musaceae.
AAAGGAUUUGGCCUACAAUUAUUGAAGUCUAUUUCACUAAAAUAAUUAGCCGCCAUGACUCUUUCUUCCAUCGUCACAUGUUGAUGCUACGAGGAAAUAGAAAUCAACAAUCGAAGCUACCUUGGCACUUGUUAGAUCGGUAAAAGCUCCUUCUGCGCCACAAAGAAGCUCUUGGACGAAGGAUCAGCAGUGCUCUGAAAUGUCGUUCGUACUGACAGCCUUGGGAUGGUUCGGUGAGCACUUCAUCGGGAGCUUGGUCGAAAAGUUUGCAGAUUUUACGGUGCAGUUUGGGGCGGAGGAGGGGCUGCAAGAUGAUCUCAUCGAGCUAAAGACUUCCCUGCACCAGAUUCAGUUCACCAUCAGCAGAGCCGAGAAUAUCUGGAUCCAAGAUCAGGAGUUGAGAGGGAGAUUCAAUGAGUUGCUGAUCCAGCUCAAGGACGAGGCCUUCGAUGCUGACCACUUACUGGACGAGUUCCACUUCCGAGUUCUGCAACAGCAGGCGGAGCAACGAGGAGACAAGGCAAGUCACCAAUCAUCUUCUUCUUCUAGUCUCCCUCCGAGGAAAAAGAGAAGACUUUCAUUGCUUGGUGGUGUUACCAUCGGUUUUUUCGGUAGAGAAAAUCAUGACGACGAUGUGAACAGAGUAAGGGAAAUCCAAGGGAGGUUAGAUAGACUUGCAGAUGCAUUCCAGAAUGUCAUGGCUUCGUUAGAUGCAGACGGCAGAAGAAUCAAACAGCUGGAAACAUCGGAGACGAGAAGAACAACUUCCGUUCCAAUUGCGACUCAAAUGUUCGGACGGGACAAAGAGCUGAAAGAACUCGUAGAACUGCUGUUGCAAUCGCCCCACGGAUCCCCUGCUAGCAACCAUAGCGUCUCUGUCUUGGCAAUUGUCGGCAUCGGCGGGGUCGGAAAGACUACUCUUUCUCAGCUUGCAUGCAUCCACGAGAGCAUGGAGAAAUAUUUCAGACAUAUGAUUUGGGUGUGUGUAUCCGAUGACUUCAGUGUGGAAAGGAUUACCAAAGAGAUCGUCGAGUCUGCAACCCAGAGAAAGUGUGAUUCCAUGAAUUUUGACACCCUUCAAAAGAAUCUAAAGCGGUUGACAUCAGAUCGAUUUCUACUCGUCCUCGAUGACGUGCGCAAUGCGGAGAAACACAAAUGGGAGAGCUUGUGUGCGCCAUUGAGAUGGGGAGUAGCGGGCAGCAAGAUUUUGGUGACGACUCGCUCGACAAAGAUCGCAGACAUAGUCGGCCACGAGCAACCGAUCCAUCUAAAUAAAAUGCCUGGAGGAGGAGAGCUGCUGGGAAUUCUUCAACAAGUGUGCAUUCGGAUCACAAAACCCCGGAGACCAUCCACAGCUGGAAGCCAUUGCCAAGAAGAUCGUUCACAAGCUGGGCGGGUUGCCACUUGCAGCAAGAACGCUAGGGGCGCUGUUGAGGGUGAGGAUGGAAGAGCAGCACUGGAGAAGCAUCAUGGAGUGUGAAAUCUGGGAACUACCACAAGACGAAGAUGAUGUCCUGCCAGUCCUCCAGAUAAGCUACCAGUAUCUUCCUGCACACCUCAAGCGCUGCUUCGCUUUCUGCUCCCUGUUCCCCAAGGAUUACCUAUUUAAUGAAGAUCGUCUGAUUCAGAUUUGGAUGGCAGAGGGCUUCAUCGAACCCCCAGGAAACAUGAGGAUGGAGGAUUUAGGACGCAAUUACUUCCAAGAGCUAGUCAGCAGAUCUUUCUUUCAGAAGUCACAAAACCCUCAUUGGAGUUACUAUGAGAUGCACGAUCUCAUACAUGAUCUUGCGCGAUUGAUCUCCGCGGGCGAGUCUUCCAGGCUACGCAAUGACAACUCACGCGAGUUCUGUAGCACGCUUCGUCAUCUCUCGGUCUUUGCCAAGGAUGUGGAAUCAGAAAGGCUAACGGAGUUCCCUUACCCUUACAAAUUGAGGACCCUAAUGUUGUCGUCGGAACGAAGAGUCAACAGCUAUUUGCUGCCUCUUCACUUGCUGGAAAGACUAAAGAACAUUCGCGUGCUGACUCUGCAGAACUGCGGCAUGAAGAAGUUGGCUGAGACGAUUGAUGACCUGAUACACCUACGGUACCUCGACAUUUCGGAGAAUACUUCGAUUCAGAGGCUGCCCGAGUCAUUGUGUGACCUCCACAAUCUGCAAACACUGAUACUACAGGGCUGUCAGCUACAGAGCUUCCCACAGGGCAUGAGCAAGCUGAUCAAGCUGAGGAAAAUUCAUGCAGAAGACGAGAUCAUUUCCAAGAUAAACGAGGUUGGAAAGCUAACUUCUCUUCAAGAACUAACAGCAUUCAGUGUGCUGAAGGAUCAGGGGCACCAAAUCGCACAACUGAGCGGUUUGACGCAGCUCCACGGAACCCUUCGGAUUAGAAAUCUGGAGAACGUUGGGAGCAAAGAGGAAGCAAGAAAGGCUGGACUGAACAAUAAAGCUUACCUCGUUGAAUUAGAGCUGGAAUGGGUGUCUGACCAACACUCCAACUUGCAGAACAACCAGUUGCUUGUCUCUGAGGAGAUACUUGAAGGUCUGCAGCCACAUCAAGCUCUCAAAAGACUGGUAAUCAGAGGGUACAAUGGUGCCAGAUCUCCCAGUUGGCUGGAGGCAAAACUGCUACCCAACUUGGAAAUACUUGCACUACAAAACUGUAAAAGAUGGAAUGAUUUUUCAUGCAUCGGACCGAUCCCACGUCUCAAGGUCCUUCUCAUGGUGGGCAUGUCGGCAGAGAAAGUGACAGGCCAUGGCUUCUUCGGUGCAACAGAACAGGGCAAGUGUUUCCCUAUGUUGGAAGAGCUUGCGUUCCGAGACAUGGCGGCAUUGGAAGAGUUGUCUUGGAACGAUGGCGGAGUAUUGUUUCCCUGCCUGAGUAAACUCGAAAUACAAGAAUGCCCCAAGCUUCAGAGGUUGUCUCCUCUUCCUCCUUCGCUUACAGAACUUCAGUUAGGACAAGUUGGGUUGACAGAAUUUACCGGACUAUGGGAAGGAAUCGAUGGAAGCAGCAUGAUUUCGGAGAGCAACCUACGAAAUAUCAAAACUAUUGACAUAUGGGGAUGUGAAGAACUAGUGUCGCUGCCGGUGAAGAGGUUUAGAGAACUCACCUCCCUCGAGAACCUGUCAAUACAAAGCUGCCCCGUGCUCAUGAGCAUGACACGAGAGGAGGACAUUGAACUACUGCUGCCGCCCUCAGUGAAGCUACUAGAUUUGAUCGACUGUGGGGAUCUCGGCAAAUCCCUGCCUGCCUGCCUGCACAACCUCACCUCGCUGACCGGAUUGGAGAUAGGUAGAUGUCCAUACUUGAUGUCUCUUCCAAGGGAGCAGAUGCUCCACCUGAAACAACUCGAAUGGCUGAGCAUCAAGCAUUGUGACGAGUUGACAUCUGUGGAGGGGCUACGAGUUCUCAACUCCCUCAGAUUUUUGACCAUCCUCAGAUGCCCCAAGCUUCUGGUGAACGAAGGGGACCGGCAAGGGGAGGUCUUGCCACUGGAGCAAUUAGAAGUCGACGACACUGCGCUGCUCAAACUGCGGCCCAUAAGAGAUGCGCUGCAGUCGCUCCGUCAUCUCGCAAUCAAAUCCUCACCACAAACGGCGAUGUUCGACGGGGAGGAGCAGGAGUUGCUCCGAAGCCUCACGGGUGUCAGAAUCCUGCAAUUCUCCUGUUGCGGGAAUCUCCAAACCCUGCCGACAGAGUUGCAUGCCAUUCGAUUCCUUCGGACGUUAUGGAUCGAAGAAUGUCCGGAGAUCCGAUCGCUGCCGGAGAAGGGGCUGCCCACGUCCCUCACGUAUCUACAAUUCGACAGUUGCCAUCCCAUGUUGACGGAGCAGCUGGAAAAGCAGGUGGCGGAGAUGAAGAGCUCAGGUCGAUGGUGGUAAAGGAAUCCAAAAGACCUUCGAAGUUCGCAAGGAGCAACUUACCUAAUUCUCGUGCCUUUAGCACAUCGAUUCUAUAUUUCCUUUGAAAAAUUAUAUUAAAAUUAUCUAGCCUAUAUUUUUUGAAAAAUUAUAUUAAAAUUUUUAUACUUAUAAAAAUAAAAUAUUUAACUUUAUUUUUUUUUAA